Molecule: ribosomal RNA, 254 nt
Filed under: uncultured bacterium
Lineage: Bacteria
Description: partial 16S ribosomal RNA
Rfam family: Bacterial small subunit ribosomal RNA
Source: RNAcentral
UACGUAGGGUGCGAGCGUUGCCCGGAUUUAUUGGGCGUAAAGGGCGCGUAGGCGGCUCGGCACGUCCGUUGUGAAAUCGCCCGGCUCAACUGGGCGGGGUCAGCGGAUACGGCCGAGCUUGAGCAAGCUAGGGGGCAAUGGAACUCCCGGUGUAGUGGUGGAAUGCGUAGAUAUCGGGAGGAACACCAGUGGCGAAGGCGGCUCACUGGACUGGUAUUGACGCUGAGGUGCGAAAGCGUGGGGAGCAAACAGGG